Molecule: long non-coding RNA, 3328 nt
Organism: Balaenoptera musculus (blue whale)
Lineage: Eukaryota; Metazoa; Chordata; Mammalia; Artiodactyla; Balaenopteridae
Exons: 3
Source: RefSeq, a predicted model, not a curated record
CAGAGAAGGCAGAGGACGAGGCUCCCCGAGGAACAAGAGGAGAGGGGGCAGCAGAGGAGGUCCCAUCUAGGCAGGACACAAUGAGAGCUGCUGUUUCCUUGAGAGAAUUCUGACAGCAAGGCAUAGAAAUGCAAGCCAACACUGCUAGCUCUGGAGGAAAAAAAAAAAAAAAAUCCAUGCUCUAAACACCUCCACGGGGCUGAAGCCUGCCAGGGAAGAAGGCACACAGAGGAGGGACCCGCCGGCAACUUUUCCCCAGGUCCUGACAAUGAGACUGGAGCCCUGGAUAUUCAGAACCUCUAUCGAUUCUUGUCAGAAAUGAUACUGACGAAUUCCUUUCCUUAACAAAUCUUUUUCAAACAUAUGCAAUUAUUAAAAAUUGGGUUUUUUAAAAAAGGGAAACCAAAAUUGUGAAAGACAUAUUUUUUAAAAUAUUUAAGCUUUCCCAAAUAUCUUAGAACCAUCCCUUGUACAACUGUCACGUGAAUGAAACUCUUUAAAGUAGGUCGAAUAUAAGGACCUCCAUGGUGUGGGUAGUUUCAGUUGCCAUAUUAAUUAAUAAUAAUUAAUAUUAAGUAUAUAUUAAAUAAUAGUAACAAGAGUGACAGAGACCAUUUAUUAGACUUCUGAUACUGUGUUCAUGGCACUUUACAUGAAUCUAUCUCAUUGAAGCCUCCUAUUGAAUAAGUAUUAUUAUAGUCACUUUACAGAUGAGGAAACAGGCUCAGAGAGGUUAAGUAGCUUGCUCAGGGUCACAGAGCCAGAACGCACAGAUGGCCAAGCCAUGCUCUUCCUCCCUAUACCCCUCUGCCACCAAUAAUCUUGACGAUUACAUUGUCUAUCAUUCAGACCUUUCCCUGUCUUAAACCAACCUUGAUUUUUCCCAAACCCAGGAGUCUUUCUGAGGACCAUUCAUAGGAAAUCACCAUCCUCACUUCCCUGUCAUGUUGUAUCUGAGACAUUUAUGUUCAAAUACUGCUUGGUGAAAGAAAUAGGAAAGAACUAUAAUUUCUGCUUAUGCUUUUGAUGCUACCUUAACCGUUACUUAAGUUCUGAAUGCUUUUAAAUGGAACUUAAUUCUCAAGAGCAAGGGAAAUUUAAGGCUUCUGAUCAACUGUCUGACUACAGGACAGAAGCAGGGAAAAAUAAAUCUUGUUUUCAAUAACAUGUUGAGUGACAUUUUAUAUGGCCAUCAACCUGUUCUCCUAAGAAACUCAAGACUCUCCACAUGUGUUAUCUCAUUAAUCUUUAACCCACCCUGUGAUGGGCAGAUGGGGUUACACAACCACUACAGGAAUGAGGGAGAGAAGGGUAGUGAUUUCACCAACAUCACAGAGCACACCCAUGGCCAGUUAACACACCAUACCUCCCCAUCCUUCCUACUAACACCACCAGCCAAAGUCACAGGACACUGCUGUAUCAAUGUCCCUUGCCCUGUGCAAAACUCAGAGAAAGUUGUCUUUCUAUUCCCAUCCUAGAUUUUUUCCUCUCAUUUAUGCCUGGUCUGAAAUAUUUUGAUUUUACUGCAGCUGUUUGUUUUGUUUUGUUUUUUCCAGCCUUCCUUUCACUUCGUUUCCUCAUCUGUUCCAUGAAUUUCCUUCCUAGCAUCUUAAGUUAGAUGAUGUGGGAAAGUAAGAUGAGACUCAAAACAAUCAAGUAAUUACUUACUAAAAGUUUAUUGUUGGUUUUUUUAUGCAAAUUUUGAAGUGCACUUUUAUGUAAUCUUUUGACCACAUGAGGUUGGGCUUGACAAAAAGACAAAAUAAUUCACACUCAAAUGCUGGGGACAGUCUCACGGGAGGGUUAGCAGGGUCUUGGUUAUCUCACAUCAUUUCUUGGGAAAUCAAUUUCUUUUGUAUCCUUACAUGAAUUAAUCACCUUCUGGACCUCAGCUGGCUUAUGAAUGGUGGGUCCCUUAAAGCUGGCUCUUUCUAGUUCUUGGGACCAAAAAACUCAGUCUCUCUCAUCUGUGCAAACCUGAAACUCACACUUUGGAGAUCUUGAUGUGACAGAUUUAAACGGUUAAAAUGAACCUGUACUCAGCUCUAAGUUCUCUGGUUCACUGGAAGAGAUGAGACAUUUUAAUCUUCUCAAAGGCACAGCUACAUCUUCUCCUUGGCCCCUCUGCUUCUCCUCCCCACCAGUCCCUGUUUUUGAUGGACCACCACCCCCAAACUUGGGGGCGGAAGAUCAACCCCACAUUCUCACUCAUACUAAGCCUGCACUUGACUAUGGGGGACAAAUGUGUUUUCACAGCAGAAGCUGAUACAUAGCCCUUGGAUUGGAUUAAAUGAGUUAUUGGAUGAUUCCUGAGGUCAGCCAGAAAGAUUUUGACUUGGGUGCCUAGGACAUUUUCCUAUUUUCCUGAGAAAAAGUGUGAUUCAUAAGCCACCACUAUCACCAACACCUCAGAGGCAGAGCUGCAGAAGAAUAAAUGUUCACAGAGUAUAAAACCCAUAGACAUUUUCUUCCCUUGCUUCGCUCUGAACUCUCACCUUCCAAGCCUAUCUCCAUAGGUUGAUCCAAGACUGUUCCUCCAACCUGAUUAGUUUUUUUUUUAAAGGAUUACCAUUUACGUAUAUGUAAACCAAUUCAUUUCUACGACACUGAUCUGUAAAACCAGAUAAAAGUAAUGGCUAUUUCAUAGAGCAGAGAGGAUUCAAGGAAUUUGUCAAAGCACCAAAAAUCAUCCUUGUCAUGCCUGAAAGAAAUGUUGUUCUUAUUUUUAUUACUUUUAUUGUAUGUCAUUGACUGCCCUCGUCAGUGCUGUAAGUCCCAAACCUUCUUUGGGGCGUAGUUCUUCCCUUGGCUUCCUCCCUGCUUCCUGGUAGAAUAUCAGAUCCUCUGAAGCUGAAAACCCCAUCUCCCUCCAGCCAGGGGUGGCCUGUCCAGACCCCGGGUCGCUCCCCAACUGCCAGCGUCCCUCACUUCCCUGAGGCUCGGGCCUCACAGAUCGUAGGGCUGGUGAUGGGGAACGGGGAGCAGAAGCCGAACAAAAAGAUCCUUCCCACAAUGAACAAUGGUGCUUGGAAUGCUGCGUGGCAGCUACCGCCCAUCAACUGCUCCCAGGACAGACAUACAGCAGGACGCACAGGAGAGCCUGGCGUGUUCUAAGCCAGGGUAGUUCACUGCGCAUGUGCGGAGUAAUUCUCUGUCGAAUGCUCUCUCUCCUUUUUUCUUUUUCUUUUUUAAAUUUUUUUUUUAUUUUCCUUCAUGGGAUUCCAAACAUUAAAAAAGAAUCAUAUUGAGCUGUACAAAGCCAAGGCAAAUUAAUGAAUAGUAUUAAUAAUAAUAAAAGUUUUGAUGCAUUGUAACUGCACCAAAAUAA